ACGUAGGGGGCGAGCGUUGUCCGGAUUUAUUGGGCGUAAAGAGCUCGUAGGCGGUUUCGUAAGUCGGGUGUGAAAACUCCAGGCUCAACCUGGAGACGCCACCCGAGACUGCGAUGACUAGAGUCCGGUAGGGGAGUGUGGAAUUCCUGGUGUAGCGGUGAAAUGCGCAGAUAUCAGGAGGAACACCAACGGCGAAGGCAGCACUCUGGGCCGGUACUGACGCUGAGGAGCGAAAGCGUGGGGAGCGAACAGG
RNAcentral lists this ribosomal RNA (253 nucleotides) under uncultured bacterium. RNAcentral's name for it is "partial 16S ribosomal RNA". It matches the Rfam family "Bacterial small subunit ribosomal RNA", at positions 525 to 776 of the family's 1533-position model. The record is from RNAcentral.